RNAcentral lists this long non-coding RNA (439 nucleotides) under Nicotiana benthamiana. Its description in RNAcentral is "long non-coding RNA (NBEN_LNC035431)". The record is from RNAcentral. Lineage: Eukaryota; Viridiplantae; Streptophyta; Magnoliopsida; Solanales; Solanaceae.
ACUAAUACAAAAUAUCUGAAGCUUCUCUCUCUUUCUCGAACCUUCUCUCAAGUCCAAUGGUUAUUGCUCUGCUUCAAUUUCUUCCAGAUUUGUACUAUGUAACAUGGUAUCAGAGCGUAGAUCCUGAUGUUUCAUCUCAUCCGCUUCCGAUUGAUGUUGGUUACACUAUCCUUCGUCGAGUUAUUGGUUUUUUUUGUUACUUUCAUUCUGAAAAAGGUUUUUCUCCGAAUUUGCUGGAGAUUUUCGAAAUAGCUUGCUUAUCUCCACUGGAUUUUUGGUUUCAAUGGAGAUAUUGGGUGUUUCUCUAAUUAUUUCGAGAUAGGGUUCAGAUUGCUUCGAAUUAGGGUUUCUUCAUCACUUUCGUUGAGCUGCCUGAAGGUUUUUCUUCAAAAUUGACAAGAUUAUUCUCUUUUCGGUUUCAAAAGAGGGGGGGGGGGGG